AAGUUUUAAUUCAAAUUUGCCUAUUUUUCAUAUUUCGUCAGUUUCAUUGACAAACAAAAUAAGAGAUGGAGCGAGUGAACAAGUUGAAUAAUAUAAACCUGAGUGCCAUUUCAGCCUAAACGAACGACUCGGGGCUCAUGGGGCCAGGCGGGCUACUUUUUCAUCCAGCGCGGAGUCAACAAGUGCAAAAUCGAGCAAUAUCCAGCGGUCAUCAUAUCUGUCAUUCGAUAUUUUGUUGACCGAUUCAAAUUCACAAUAUUAAAUAAUUAGUCAUGUUUCUCAAUAAAUCUCACAAUUUGACAGACGACCGCUGAAUUGAAUCAAUAUUGUGGAGAAGCCUCCAAUACCCUCCAAUACAAUUCCAUCAUUGGAGUGGCACAUAACCAUUAACAUGGGAGGUCGAGCACUCCCUACCAGCUUAAGACUACCGCGCCGAUAAUUGUUUGAUGCCCGUAAAAGACCAAGGACAGGAGCGGAGUCUACAAGCAAUGCGACUAAUCGGGAAUCAAUCACGCCAUGGUCGUCAUCGGCUGAUGGGCAACAACGACCAGCAAUCGAAUCGACUAAACUGGAUCGUAUCCGGAAUUCAUGUUGGGGAACCGGAAGGGGCCUGUCUGGUUACAUUCUGAUGCAGCGCGGAGUCAACAGGUGUAGGCCUAAUAGCAUCGAGAAAUAUCCCGCUUACGUUAUAGCAGCCUAAAGAACGCUAACAGCUCUAUAUACAGUUUAUUCCUACGCCUUUUAUAGGCUAUUAAUAUCUUUAACUAAAUCUGUGAUCAAACGCAUUCCGAUCAAACCAUAAUGGACCGAUAAAAGUGCAACGAAAUGAAAUUUGAAAAUUGAUACCGAUUUCCAUUACUUUUGACUUCAUACAAGUCAAGACGUAAUUAAGCGAAUGGCCAGGAUUUAAAAAAAUAAUAAUAAUUAAGUUGAGCUGGCACAGCGUCAAUCAAAUUAAAUUAUUCGAAUGGAAUAUCCAACGGCAAACGCAUUUAUGAAAGCAGAGUAGAAAUUCGCCCUCAUUGUGACAAAAAACUGACAGACCAAAUUUAGCGCAACCGAAAGGAGCGAGUGGAAAAUGAACGAAAAAAAACCAGACAGGUAAGUGACUGAAGGUCGACGUUUUACCCUUUUUUUAUUAUUCAGACACCCUCUGCACGUGCACACUUGUCUCUCCCGGAUGUGAAUUAUAUACGUGUAGAGAUCCCGGAUCCACCAAACACGCACGAUAUGACGGGGGGGCGAAAUCGAAACGCGGCUCCAUUUAUCGCAAGUGUUUUUUCGUUUUUCAAAUAGGUCGCGUACAAAAUAGUCAUAAAAUAAAGAGUCGAUUCAGUUUCGUGCGUCACGAAUGUGUUUCACAUGUGAGAGACGAAAGAAAAAAAAAUGCCGACUAAAUGCUGGCUGGGACAACCGAUGAUGAUUAAGAUCUGCGGGACGAUAUAGACAGAACUGAAAUGCACGGUCUCCAUAUUAUCCAGCAACGGGAGUAUCACAAUUUUAGGGGGAGCCUUGAUACAACAGAUGCGCGAUACUAUGGGUUUGAGGGAAAACAAAAAAACCUUGGGAGUGAAUAAGGUAUAACGGGAGACGAGUAGAAGUAUAUACCCUUUCCAUAAGCCAGUGACAACGAACAUAAGCCGGCCUUGGCUAUUAGAUGCAAUAGAUUACAUCAAACGGGCGGGGACGCCGAAAAAAAAACACGAAGGGGGAUUGUCAAUAAUGCACACGAAUGAUGUGCCAAAAUGGGGGGGAGGUAAGACAAACAGCGAGAGAAUAAAUGACUCCAUUUUGGCUAUAAAACAAAGAGACGACGCUAUGUGCUCUGCAUUCGAGCUGUGGUGUUCACUUCUCUUCCCCGACCCAAUCUGCAGUGCAUAUCGCAAUUUUAUUUUUAUAUCGUCAUGAAAAACGAUUAUCCCGUCUGCGUUUGCUGCCUGGCCCACUGCAUUUACUGCCAUCCACGAGAAAACUCACCCAAGAACUAAAGUUAUUCCAACUGAAUAAAGUUUACUUUUAAAUGAAUUAAUGUUCCCUAUGUGUGAUUGUCCUCCACAAUGUGUUCGAUGGCUCCAAAAUGUUCAAAAGAAAACUACAUAGCAUUCGCAAUAUCAGCACCUACUAGGUUUUCACUGCACCUAACUGUCUGAAAUGUAAUAAAAUUUCAUAUGUCCCCAUUGCACACUAUCUCUGCUAUGCUCUACCACAUCGAAAUAAGUUGAUUUUUGUAAAACAAGAAGUGAGAGAUGUGUUAUUGUUGUUG
This 2263-nucleotide long non-coding RNA is filed under the name Daphnia pulicaria. RNAcentral describes it as "uncharacterized LOC124338416". The record is from RNAcentral. Lineage: Eukaryota; Metazoa; Arthropoda; Branchiopoda; Diplostraca; Daphniidae.